Long non-coding RNA from Alexandromys fortis (reed vole), 672 nucleotides. RefSeq lists it as uncharacterized. The transcript is spliced from 4 exons. Lineage: Eukaryota; Metazoa; Chordata; Mammalia; Rodentia; Cricetidae. The record is from RefSeq and is a predicted model, not a curated record.
CCCGGAUGGACCAACCUGUGGGACCAUCCUUCCUGUGCUUGUGCCCUUGCCCCUGGACUUGGGGACUCAGCACCCAAUGCUUCCUGCCUCCAAAUCUCCCCUCCCGGGACAGGCUGUGCCAGGGCCAGCUUCUGAGAACUAUGAAACGCCUGCCUGAAGGGAUGAGGCAGGUCCAGGGGGAUUGGACGCCAAAGACUAAGAAUUCUGGGUAGUGCCGUGCUGCUGAUCUGCCUGGCUGAGCUGCCUUGGGAUUUCCAGGAUCCAGACUCAUUGCCCUGGCAUCUAGUGACGGCUGAAGGAGCUCCAGCAGGAGCCUCGGUGACCAAGGACAGGUCACUAUAAAGCAGUAACGGGGAUGUCCAUGUGCCCUUGGGCCACAGUGACCUCAGAAGGACUCUUCCAAAGCGUGGUGAAGGGUUUGUCGGUCCUGCCAGAUCCUGCCCAGCCUACAUGGAAACCUUGCACUGCCGUUUUCCCACUGCCUUUUCCGGUCCUCAACCACACUGUGACCAUCUGCAUGCCAGUGGGACCACUGGGCCCUGGAAGGAGAAAAAGAAACAGGCAGAACUGAGCAUGUGAGCCCCACCCACCUGUGAAGCUCCGCCCCUCCAGUCCUGCUCACCCAGAUCUGCAAUGCAACAUUGCAAGUUGCUCUUGACCAGCACAUUGCGG